CUACGGGACGCUCCAGUGAGGAAUAUUGCACAAUGGGGGGAACCCUGAUGCAGCAACGCCGCGUGGAGGAUGACGCAUUUCGGUGUGUAAACUCCUUUUAUAUGUCAAGAAAAUGACGGUAGCAUAUGAAUAAGCACCGGCUAACUCCGUGCCAGCAGCCGCGGUAAUACGGAGGGUGCAAGCGUUACUCGGAAUCACUGGGCGUAAAGGACGCGUAGGCGGGUUGGAAAGUCAGGUGUGAAAUCCUACAGCCUAACUGUAGAACUGCACUUGAAACUUCUAAUCUAGAGUAUGGGAGGGGGAGAUAGAAUUAGUGGUGUAGGGGUAAAAUCCGUAGAUAUCACUAGGAAUACCUAAAGCGAAGGCGAUCUCCUGGAACAUUACUGACGCUAAGGCGUGAAAGCGUGGGGAGCAAACAGGAUUAGAUACCCGUGUAGUC
This 439-nucleotide ribosomal RNA is filed under the name uncultured bacterium. Its description in RNAcentral is "partial 16S ribosomal RNA". It matches the Rfam family "Bacterial small subunit ribosomal RNA", at positions 339 to 795 of the family's 1533-position model. The record is from RNAcentral.